CCUACGGGUGGCAGCAGUGAGGAAUAUUGGUCAAUGGGCGCGAGCCUGAACCAGCCAAGUAGCGUGAAGGAUGACUGCCCUACGGGUUGUAAACUGCUUUUAUAAGGGAAUAACGAGACGUACGUGUACGGCUUUGUAUGUACCGUAUGAAUAAGGAUCGGCUAAUUCCGUGCCAGCAGCCGCGGUAAUACGGAGGGUCCGGGCGUUAUCCGGAUUUAUUGGGUUUAAAGGGAGCGUAGAUCGCAUGUCAAGUCAGUUGUGAAAGUUUGCGGCUCAACCCUGGCAUUGCAGUGCGAACUGGCAUUCUUGAGUACAGUUGAGGCAGGCGGAAUUCGUGGUGUAGCGGUGAAAUGCUUAGAUAUGACGAAGAACCCCGAUUGCGAAGGCAGCUUACUACAGCGCAACUGACACUGAUGCUCGAAAGUGCGGGUAUCGAACAGGAUUAGAUACCCGGGUAGUC
Molecule: ribosomal RNA, 460 nt
Filed under: uncultured bacterium
Lineage: Bacteria
Description: partial 16S ribosomal RNA
Rfam family: Bacterial small subunit ribosomal RNA
Source: RNAcentral